AUGCACUCUAUGGCAAGUGCCAUGGGUCGGGUGAGGUUCACGUCGCACAGCUCGUGCUCGGCUGUCAGCCUGGGCAGACAGCAGCGAUGCCCCAGCACCACAGCGAAGGGGCACAAGCCCUCAGGACCACGAAGACGACGUCUCCUGGAGCCCUGCGUGUCUCUCCAGGUUCUGCUCACCCUGAUCAGCCUCACCUGGGCCUGCUGCCAUCCGCCCACCUCCAGCCCUUGCCCUGGGGCUGUAUUUAAGCUCCCAGCUCUGCUCCUUGCCCUGGCUGGGUUGUGCUUGGUUGUGCUUUGUGGUUGUCUUUGGAGCUGCUUCAUUGUGAGGGAUGCUCCUGGGGACUGUCACCAUCCUAGAACCAGCCCUGCUUGGCUCCUGCCUUCCUGCAGCUGCUCCUUGGCGUUUUAUCCCCAGGUAUAGAGCAACUGGGGGAAGAUCCUACAGCCCUUUUGGAGACUUCUCUUCAGCAUCAAGAGUAAAAAUGGAAAAAUGUCUGCUCGCCUGUCCUCCCAGCUCCUUUCCUUCCCGCAGCAAAGAAGCUAAGGGCUUUUCCUCCUUGGAGCCUCAAGCACCAAAAGAAGUGCAAAACAGAAUGAAUCACACAAUCGUUAGGGUUGGAAAAGACCUCCGAGGUCAUUUGGUCCAACCAGCCCCUGCCAAUAGCAGGUCCCUCUCACCUGCCUCUCCCCCCCUCUUCAGGAGGUGUUUUUGGAGGCUCCUCCUCCUGCCCUAACAGUUCAGUCCCAGGAAAAUUACAUCCCCUAACGACGGUGCCUGUGAAAUGCUAUGCUUAAUAAAAUGUGUUGCACAUCAAUAAUUUAGCUGCUU
Molecule: long non-coding RNA, 831 nt
Filed under: Anser cygnoides (Swan goose)
Lineage: Eukaryota; Metazoa; Chordata; Aves; Anseriformes; Anatidae
Description: lncRNA (ENSACDG00005005527.1)
Source: RNAcentral